This 482-nucleotide ribosomal RNA is filed under the name uncultured bacterium. RNAcentral describes it as "bacterial SSU rRNA". It matches the Rfam family "Bacterial small subunit ribosomal RNA", at positions 903 to 1397 of the family's 1533-position model. The record is from RNAcentral.
AAAGGAAUAGACGGGGGCUCGCACAAGCGGUGGAUCAUGUGGCUUAAUUCGUAGCUAAGCGAAGAACCUUACCAAGGUUAGAAAUCAUACUGCACGCCCCGGGAAACCGGGGAAGCCUUCGAGGGUGUAUGACAGGUGAUGCAUGGCCGUCGUCAGUUCGUGGCUUGAGCUGUUCCCUUAAGUGGGGAAACGAACGCAACCCUCGUUGCCUGUUACAAGUGUCAGGCGAGACUGCUCCCUCACGGGAGAGGAAGGUGAGGAUGACGCCAGGUCAGCAUGUCCCUUGAUACCUUGGGCUGCACACGUGAUACAAUGGGUAGUACAACGGGACGCAAUAUCGUAAGAUGGAGCAAAUCCUUAUAAAACUAUCCUCAGUUCGGAUUGAGGUCUGCAACUCGACCUCAUGAAGUUGGAAUCGCUAGUAAUCGUGAAUCAGCAACGUCACGGUGAAUACGUUCCCGAGCCUUGUACACACCGCCCGU